This 67-nucleotide transfer RNA is filed under the name Phanerodon furcatus (white seaperch). RNAcentral describes it as "tRNA-Tyr". It matches the Rfam family "tRNA". From Rfam's summary of the family: Transfer RNA (tRNA) molecules are approximately 80 nucleotides in length. The record is from RNAcentral. Lineage: Eukaryota; Metazoa; Chordata; Actinopteri; Embiotocidae.
GGUAGGAUGGCUGAGUUAAGCGGUGGAUUGUAGCUCCAUAUAUAGAGGUUAAAAUCCUCUUUCUAUC